ACAAAAAAAGACGAAAAGUAUCGUACUUUUCAGCAGGACAUUAGGGCAUAAAUGCGACACCUUUUUUUCUCUCGCUUUGGAUGACUCAACAGACGUAAGCUAUUUAUUGCUGUUCAGCGUGAUUGGAAGGUUUUUACUUUGAAAGGGACAACAAGAGGGGAGGAUUUAUUCAAGUCCUUCACUGAGUUCGGUAAAGAAGAAAAUCUACCGAUGGAUAAACUUGUUUCGGUGUGCACUGAUGGUGCUCCAUGCAUAAGUAUCCAAGUAUUAACCAUACUACAAAACCAUCAGCAAAACCAUGCAGCACCAGAAGUCGCAUUAAUGUGCUGUCUCCCUCAUGCCUGCCGCUUUCACAUGCCAUUUCUUCCCCUCCUCUACUCUGGAAUUCCAGCAAAACCGGCAUCCCAGAGGAGUGCUUUAGAUUGCUUGCAGAGGAGGAUUGGAUAAAUGAGAUGUGACGGCCUCUUGGAACAAAAUGGAUGAGGGAGACAUGAUCAAAGUGACUGAUGCAUGAUACAUGACAUGAAGGUAGCACAAUCCAUUUUCCAUCCUGAUUGCACUUUCUUGUCAAAGGAGAUGACAGAAGAUAAUUCAAAUUGUGUUGUUUAAAGGCCUGUAACCCAUGACUCCAUCUAACUCUCAGACACCAGCCCUGAUUUCGUUAUAAACACUAAAAUAUGAAAUUUUCCUCGGCUUGCUGGCUCACGCUGCAUAAUGUAAACAUUUCAGAUGUAGAUGGAUAAGGGAGUGCAGUGAAAUAAAUCAACAACACAACAGAAAAUAAUGGAAAGUUGAUAAGAUAAUUCAUAUUCACUGUGCGAUAUAGCAACUAAUCACAUAAGUGAUCUAACAGCUAACUUUGCGGAAUGGACUGUAUGUUUGGCUGAUUGCUCAGGUCAGGUGUCAAAUAUCUGUUCAAUAUAUAUCGUAUGGCUCACACAACUGAACCAA
Molecule: long non-coding RNA, 951 nt
Organism: Corythoichthys intestinalis (scribbled pipefish)
Lineage: Eukaryota; Metazoa; Chordata; Actinopteri; Syngnathiformes; Syngnathidae
Exons: 3
Source: RefSeq, a predicted model, not a curated record